RNAcentral lists this ribosomal RNA (327 nucleotides) under uncultured eukaryote. RNAcentral's name for it is "partial 18S ribosomal RNA". It matches the Rfam family "Eukaryotic small subunit ribosomal RNA", at positions 1470 to 1796 of the family's 1831-position model. The record is from RNAcentral.
CCCUUAGAUGUACUGGGCCGCACGCGCGCUACACUGAUUCAUGCAACAAGUUUUGUCCUUGGCUGAUAGGCCUGGGUAAUCUUUGAACGUGAAUCGUGAUGGGGAUAGAUGAUUGCAAUUAUUCAUCUUCAACGAGGAAUUCCUAGUAAACGCAAGUCAUCAGCUUGCAUUGAUUACGUCCCUGCCCUUUGUACACACCGCCCGUCGCACCUACCGAUUGAAUGGUCCGGUGAAAUCUUCGGAUCUGAGAGAUGUCUGAUUAAUUUCGGACGCCUUUUGGAAAAGUUGUUUAAACCUUACCAUUUAGAGGAAGGUGAANUCGUANCA